Molecule: ribosomal RNA, 177 nt
Filed under: Pseudomonas sp. URMO17WK12:I6
Lineage: Bacteria; Pseudomonadati; Pseudomonadota; Gammaproteobacteria; Pseudomonadales; Pseudomonadaceae
Source: RNAcentral
GCACAAACUAUCGCAUACCCAAUUUGCUGAAGCGUCGAAAGACGGUUCGGUACCCGAAUUUCUUGACGACCAUAGAGCAUUGGAACCACCUGAUCCCAUCCCGAACUCAGAAGUGAAACGAUGCAUCGCCGAUGGUAGUGUGGGGUUUCCCCAUGUGAGAGUAGGUCAUCGUCAAGA